UUAGUUACAUACUGGCAUAAGUUUUCAACGUGUUUUC
RNAcentral lists this small RNA (37 nucleotides) under Romboutsia ilealis. Its description in RNAcentral is "CRISPR spacer". Lineage: Bacteria; Bacillati; Bacillota; Clostridia; Peptostreptococcales; Peptostreptococcaceae. The record is from RNAcentral.